RNAcentral lists this ribosomal RNA (254 nucleotides) under uncultured bacterium. RNAcentral's name for it is "partial 16S ribosomal RNA". It matches the Rfam family "Bacterial small subunit ribosomal RNA", at positions 524 to 776 of the family's 1533-position model. The record is from RNAcentral.
UACGGAGGGUGCGAGCGUUGUCCGGAAUCAUUGGGCGUAAAGGGCGCGUAGGUGGCCCGGUCAGUUCGUGGUGAAAGCGCGGGGCUCAACUCCGCGUCGGCCAUGAAUACUGCUGGGCUGGAGCACUGUAGAGGCAGGCGGAAUUCCGGGUGUAGCGGUGGAAUGCGUAGAGAUCCGGAAGAACACCGGUGGCGAAGGCGGCCUGCUGGGCAGUUGCUGGACACUGAGGCGCGACAGCGUGGGGAGCAAACAGG